AUUGAACGCUGGCGGCAUGCUUUACACAUGCAAGUCGAACGGUAACAGGGAGCUUGCUCCGCUGACGAGUGGCGAACGGGUGAGUAAUGCGUCGGAACGUGCCGAGUAGUGGGGGAUAACGCAUCGAAAGGUGUGCUAAUACCGCAUACGAACUGAGGUUGAAAGUGGGGGACCUUCGGGCCUCACGCUAUUCGAGCGGCCGACGUCUGAUUAGCUAGUUGGUGAGGUAAAGGCGCACCAAGGCGACGAUCAGUAGCGGGUCUGAGAGGAUGAUCCGCCACACUGGGACUGAGACACGGCCCAGACUCCUACGGGAGGCAGCAGUGGGGAAUUUUGGACAAUGGGCGCAAGCCUGAUCCAGCCAUGCCGCGUGUCUGAAGAAGGCCUUCGGGUUGUAAAGGACUUUUGUCCGGGAGCAAAUGCUGGUGGCUAACAUCCACCGGAGCUGAGAGUACCGGAAGAAUAAGCACCGGCUAGCUCCGUGCCAGCAGCCGCAGUAA
RNAcentral lists this ribosomal RNA (500 nucleotides) under uncultured bacterium. Its description in RNAcentral is "partial 16S ribosomal RNA". It matches the Rfam family "Bacterial small subunit ribosomal RNA", at positions 30 to 523 of the family's 1533-position model. The record is from RNAcentral.